CUGAUCAGAUAGGGAAUAACCAAUCAGAGAUACAGAUCGACCCGACAUCCGCCAUGUUGAACAUUCGCUUAAAGAAUCCUACAGGAAUAAACAACAACAGUCUGAUUGAUCUAUAAGGUGUAAAUAUAGAAACGGGGACGAAACCACAGGAAACCAAACUCUGCUGAGACACGUUCUGCUGCCGGUGGACGAGGUUUUGUCAGAGAAACCAGAUCACGAGGAGAAUUUAGCUCCACGCUGACGAGAGCAGACAGAGGAGACGAUCGGAGACUGAAUCAGGUGACGCAGUAAACCAUGACGCCACGGAAGCGAGUCAGCACGAACAACACCGGGAUCCUGGAACUGAAUUCAGACUGCAUUCAUUUUAUUAUGUACAUCUGUGAGUUUACCACUGUCAUAUGUGAAAAAAGGCACAGGAUGUAGAACAGCUACCAGAAAAGAACUACAAAGAAAAACUAAGACUUUCAUGAUGAGGCUUUUCUGGCAUCUGAAUCUUUUACAACGCUAACUAUCUACAGACUUCACAUUUAUUUAUAAAAAUCCGUGUCAGCAUUUAGUGGGUCCUGAGACUCCAAACCAGUUCAGUCCUUCACUCAUGCUCUUGUAGACCGACCCCAUCGCCAGACAGGAACAUCAGUAGUGGACGGUUCUGUGAGAUUUAUCUUUAGAAAUCUCCCUUUUUCUACAAUAUCCGCCCACGGAAACUGCAGUAGGAUGUUAUAAUUGAUAAAGAAACAUUGAUUGCUGGUCUGUGACGGGACGUGAACUCUCCUGCUUGAGAGUCAGACGUCCGUCCACCAUCCUGACUGUGCGCCGCUCGCUGGAGCAGCCUGAGUCUGAAUCUUCAGCCUUCUUUAUCAUCCAGUAAUGAGGUCACGUGUUCAUGGGGAAACGGAGCUGCUGGUUUCAUUACCCGUCCCUCAUCAUCUGUUGAACUCUGCUGAACCGACAGUACGGACAGCUGGACGAGGAGUUAAUUUCUUUAUUUCUUUUCCUUCAGUUGUUUUGGAAUUGCCCCUCUUCCCCUUUUUAUACGUACUGUAAGCCCUGCCUUCCUAACUCUCCUGCACAGGCUGUGUUUACACUGCAGAUUUGAAUGCCUCUGUGUGCGACGCUUAUCUUUUACAUAAAUGUCUUUUUUGAAAGUGCAGAGUAACACAAUUAGCUUCAGCACGUCUCCUGCUGCCGAAAGCAAGAACCGGGUUGCUGUGACUCAGUUGUUUCUUCAGUUUGGUUUCAGGUGUUCAAUCCACUUCAUCCUCAGUGGAGACAAAGGUGGAGACGUACAGAGAAUGAGAGGAAUUAGGAAUGUGUUACCUUAUGCAAAUGAGAUGCAAACGGCAUGCAAACGAGCGGAUUAAUGACAGCGUGCUGAGCCGGAGAGAAGGGAGAGAAACAGUGUUAACCUGCAGCAGAUUUGCAUCAGGCUGCAGAGACGAGUCCGAGCAGGACCAGACUCUCUCCUCGUGCUCGCUGCCGGGUAUCAAGGAUGCAUCUAUAAAUUAAAUGGGUGUAGUUAUGUCAUCUUCACAUAGAUGCAAGACUAUUUAAAAAGCAGAGGAUCUUUGUAAGGGCAAGAAAAAAACAUUUUUGACUUGGAUCCAAAUGUCGUCUAUUUAAAAAAAAAAAUCAUAAUAACACAUUUUUGUGGCUUGGAGUCAGCGUGCAGGUGUUACUCUUUAUAAAUGUUUGGUCUUCUCUGUCCGUCCAACACUUUGGUCCAGAGCGAAACAUCUUCAGCAUCUAACGACCAGAUUUCCGUAAAUGUGACUCCAUAAACAGCAGGAUUCUGACCUCGUCGACACAUUUCUGUUUCCUGGUUGGGUCAGGAAAGACUGCGGAGCGAGUAAUGGUUUCAUACACGCUCUACGCUCGAUUUCUAAUUUUAUUACUUGACUUAAAUGUUGCUAAAGAGUCCCGACAUCUUCUGAGGGUGAGAUCCUGAAGCCCUGGAUCAGCCAGAGACGAUGUGGAUCAGAACCUUUACAGACUUGAAACACUCCCCGGGAACAAGAAAACCAAAAAAAACCAACAAAACAGUUUCAUUAAAGUCCUAUCAAGUCUCAGCCUAUCAGACCAAGCUGUGGUCGUUUGUUCCACCUCAGCUCCGCAGUGACUCCGCCCGUCUCUGCCUAAAUGAGGCUUCUCUGGCUCCAGACAUGUGGUAAACCCAAACUGCAGACUUUAAUCCGUCUCUACAGAAACCAGAGGGGGACCACACAGUGUCUGCAGACUGGUUGCAUACAGUCUGACUCCUACACAACAUUUACAGACAGUGAUUCAAGCGUCUGAGAGGUGUUUCCACUACCAGACCUCACUCAGAAAUCAGUCGCUUUUAUAAUAUUUUCAUUUCUCAGACUCUGCAGUUUUCCCCGAACUUCCCCUUGUGUUUGUACA
This is a long non-coding RNA of Xiphias gladius (swordfish), 2397 nucleotides long. RefSeq lists it as uncharacterized. Lineage: Eukaryota; Metazoa; Chordata; Actinopteri; Istiophoriformes; Xiphiidae. The transcript has 3 exons. The record is from RefSeq and is a predicted model, not a curated record.